CUACGUGCCAGCAGCCGCGGUAAUACGUAGGUGGCAAGCGUUGUCCGGAAUUAUUGGGCGUAAAGCGCGCGCAGGCGGAUCAGUUAGUCUGUCUUAAAAGUUCGGGGCUUAACCCCGUGAUGGGAUGGAAACUGCUGAUCUAGAGUAUCGGAGAGGAAAGUGGAAUUCCUAGUGUAGCGGUGAAAUGCGUAGAUAUUAGGAAGAACACCAGUGGCGAAGGCGACUUUCUGGACGAAAACUGACGCUGAGGCGCGAAAGCCAGGGGAGCGAACGGGAUUAGAUACCCCGGUAGUCCUGGCCGUAAACGAUGGGUACUAGGUGUAGGAGGUAUCGACCCCUUCUGUGCCGGAGUUAACGCAAUAAGUACCCCGCCUGGGGAGUACGACCGCAAGGUUGAAACUCAAAGGAGUUGACGGGGGCCCGCACAAGCGGUGGAGUAUGUGGUUUAAUUCGACGCAACGCGAAGAACCUUACCAGGUCUUGACAUUGAKGACAGAACUAGAGAUAG
Molecule: ribosomal RNA, 508 nt
Filed under: uncultured bacterium
Lineage: Bacteria
Description: bacterial SSU rRNA
Rfam family: Bacterial small subunit ribosomal RNA
Source: RNAcentral